CAACCUUUUGGAGAAGAGGAAGGUGAAGGCCAUCUAUCUUGAUCUGAAACCAUAAUAAGACCAGAGAUUUGAGCUCACUCAUUGGGCCAUGCCUGAAACGUAUGUUUUUAAUGACAAGCUCUAUUUUUUCUUGUUUAAAAUUUGACCAUAAGAACAGAUUGUUUUCAUUUGGUACCUGUAUUUGAGCAAAGUCUAUUCUUUUACAAAGGACCAUGGCUAAGUUUAUACUACAUCAAAGAACUUUUACAAGACAAAGCCUUAAUGCACAUGAACACUGAGUAGCUCAGACAAGCAACAAAACACAAGCAGAAAAUGGGAACUGCAUCCCCAGUUCAAGUUCUGAACACGUGCAGCGUUUUUGCCAUGUAGACUUAAUUCAAAGGAUAAUUUACUAUAAACAAUUUAUGUCCAUUAUUUUAUUUUCCCCGUCAUUAUUGAAGGGAAACAGAAAAGUGGCUGCAGAAAUCCAUUAUAAACCACUGUUAAAGUUUAACAGGUUCACCAAUGGUACAUUAUCAAGUAAAAUGGGGACUGUCCUGCUUGAGUUUGUCUGUAUUGUAUAUCUACAGGGAAGAUGCUGUUUGGA
Molecule: long non-coding RNA, 586 nt
Filed under: Rattus norvegicus (Norway rat)
Lineage: Eukaryota; Metazoa; Chordata; Mammalia; Rodentia; Muridae
Description: long non-coding RNA NONRATT010712
Source: RNAcentral